Molecule: non-coding RNA, 23 nt
Filed under: Arabidopsis thaliana (thale cress)
Lineage: Eukaryota; Viridiplantae; Streptophyta; Magnoliopsida; Brassicales; Brassicaceae
Source: RNAcentral
GAAUAUGACUGGUCACUGGACGC